GCAGUAACCACGGGAAUACAGAGGGUGCGAGCGUUAAUCGGAUUUACUGGGCGUAAAGCGUGCGUAGGCGGCUUCUUAAGUCGGAUGUGAAAUCCCUGAGCUUAACUUAGGAAUUGCAUUCGAUACUGGGAAGCUAGAGUAUGGGAGAGGAUGGUAGAAUUCCAGGUGUAGCGGUGAAAUGCGUAGAGAUCUGGAGGAAUACCGAUGGCGAAGGCAGCCAUCUGGCCUAAUACUGACGCUGAGGUACGAAAGCAUGGGUAGCAAACAGGAUUAGAUACCCCAGUAGUCCCUGUCUCUUAUAC
RNAcentral lists this ribosomal RNA (302 nucleotides) under uncultured bacterium. RNAcentral describes it as "partial 16S ribosomal RNA". It matches the Rfam family "Bacterial small subunit ribosomal RNA", at positions 508 to 807 of the family's 1533-position model. The record is from RNAcentral.